GACGAACGCUGGCGGCGCGCCUAACACAUGCAAGUCGAACGAGCCUAGGGGAGCUUGCUCUCCGAAGCUAGUGGCGGACGGGUGAGUAACGCGUGGGUAACCUGCCUCAUACAGGGGGAUAACAGUUAGAAAUGACUGCUAAUACCGCAUAAGCGCACAGUACCGCAUGGUACGGUGUGAAAAACUCCGGUGGUAUGAGAUGGACCCGCGUCUGAUUAGCUAGUUGGUGAGGUAACGGCUCACCAAGGCGACGAUCAGUAGCCGACCUGAGAGGGUGACCGGCCACAUUGGGACUGAGACACGGCCCAA
This 309-nucleotide ribosomal RNA is filed under the name uncultured bacterium. RNAcentral's name for it is "bacterial SSU rRNA". It matches the Rfam family "Bacterial small subunit ribosomal RNA", at positions 28 to 334 of the family's 1533-position model. The record is from RNAcentral.